CCUACGGGUGGCAGCAGUGAGGAAUAUUGGUCAAUGGACGCACGUCUGAACCAGCCAUGUCGCGUGCAGGAUGACUGCCCUAUGAGUUGUAAACUGCUUUUAUAUGGGGGUAAAUCCCGAUAUGUGUACCGUGUUGUAAGUAUCGUAUGAAUAAGGAUCGGCUAACUCCGUGCCAGCAGCCGCGGUAAUACGGAGGAUCCAAGCGUUAUCCGGAUUUAUUGGGUUUAAAGGGAGCGUAGGCGGUCGGAUAAGUGAGUUGUGAAAUCUCGGGGCUCAACUCCGGAACUGCCUCUGAUACUGUCUGGCUAGAGUUUAGUUGCGGUAGGCGGAAUGUAUGGUGUAGCGGUGAAAUGCAUAGAGAUCACAAAGAACACCGAUUGCGAAGGCAUCGUACCAAACUACGACUGACGUUGAGGCUCGAAAGUGUGGGGAUCAAACAGGAUUAGAUACCCUAGUAGUC
Molecule: ribosomal RNA, 460 nt
Filed under: uncultured bacterium
Lineage: Bacteria
Description: partial 16S ribosomal RNA
Rfam family: Bacterial small subunit ribosomal RNA
Source: RNAcentral